This 438-nucleotide ribosomal RNA is filed under the name Leptoypha mutica. RNAcentral describes it as "partial 16S ribosomal RNA". The record is from RNAcentral. Lineage: Eukaryota; Metazoa; Arthropoda; Insecta; Hemiptera; Tingidae.
UUCUUUAUGAUAUAUUUUAUAUAAAGUAUAACCUGCUCAAUGAUUAUUUAAAUAGCCGCGAUUAUAUCGUGCGAAGGUAGCAUAAUAAUUUGACUUUUAAUUAAGGUCUUGAAUGAAGGGUUGAACGAAAUAUAAACUUUUUUAAUUAAUUAUUUAUGAAUAUUUAUUUUUUAGUAAAAAAGCUAAAAUAAAUUUAUGGGACGAUAAGACCCUAUAGAAUUUUAUUUUUUCACCAAAAUUUAAUAAAGGUAUUAUUUGUUAUUAAUUUUGAUGUUAAAAUUUUGUUGGGGCGACAGAUACAUUUAUUUAACUGUAUUUUGAUUUAUAUCAUAAAUAUAUGAUUGUUAUGAUCCUUAAUUUAAGAUUACAAGAUUAAAUUACCUUAGGGAUAACAGCGUUAUUUCACUGGAGAGUUCAUAUUUAUAGUGAAGUUUGCGA